CCCUUAGAUGUUCUGGGCAGCACGCGCGCUACAAUGGUCUUCGCAAACGGAUGCAUUCUCGAAGGAGAAUGCCAAUCUUGGAAUCUAUGCCUUGGUCGGGACAGUUGCUUGCAAUUUUUCGACUCGAACCAGGAAUUCCUUGUAAUCGUGAUUCAUCACAUCACGAUGAAUACGUCCCUGCCCUUUGUACACACCGCCCGUCGCUCCUACCGAUCGAAGAGUUAGGUGAAUUGUUUUGAUCGAUAAGAUUUGACUAUGGUCAACUCUCGUUGUAAAAUUCUGUGAAUCUGACUGUUUAGAGGAAGGAAAAGUCGUAACA
RNAcentral lists this ribosomal RNA (319 nucleotides) under uncultured eukaryote. RNAcentral describes it as "partial 18S ribosomal RNA". It matches the Rfam family "Eukaryotic small subunit ribosomal RNA", at positions 1470 to 1796 of the family's 1831-position model. The record is from RNAcentral.